ACCAAUGACAUAAUCCGUUUCAAAUGAAACGGGCUAGGUCAUUGGCUUAUUUAUCCAACUGUAUUAAAGAUGCUUUACCAGGCAACGCGCUCAUUGGUACAUAUUUAAUUAACUAAUAAAAGAAAAUAAAUACGAACUCGUGAAAUAAACAAACAAAUAAAAUAAAAAAA
This is a long non-coding RNA of Centruroides sculpturatus (bark scorpion), 170 nucleotides long. RefSeq lists it as uncharacterized. The record is from RefSeq and is a predicted model, not a curated record. The transcript is spliced from 2 exons. Lineage: Eukaryota; Metazoa; Arthropoda; Arachnida; Scorpiones; Buthidae.